Molecule: long non-coding RNA, 829 nt
Organism: Hibiscus syriacus
Lineage: Eukaryota; Viridiplantae; Streptophyta; Magnoliopsida; Malvales; Malvaceae
Exons: 3
Source: RefSeq, a predicted model, not a curated record
ACGUGAUCGAAACAAUCGAGAGCAGAUUGAGGGUUUGAAGAAAAAAAUACACGAAGCCUCUCCUUACCAGUCGAGCUCUUUUAGAGCCUCAGCAAAGUGUUCACUUUCUUUUUGCUAGGUUUCAUUCGAUUUAUUGUGGAUUGGAUGAUGGAAAAACCAGUAAGCCCCUUAAUUUUCUAUUUAAAAAAGGGCGCAAUGAACUGUAACUGUGAAAAGGUUGGAAGAUCUGGCCAAAAAGGGUGAUAGUCUUAUGGAUUCGUUCCCAUUGUUCGAUCAUUCCUAGUAAAGCAAGACGUGUUCAAAUUAUGAUCACUUUUACGCGAGAAAGGGGACCACCCUCUAAGCCUAAGAAUUCCUCAAUGAUCGAUAGCGUACAAGUACUGUGAGGGAAAGGUAAAAAGAACCCUAUUUAUGGAGUACGAUAGAGAACUUGAGAUCUGAUGUGAACAAUCAGUCGAAGGAGAGGAGCUUAAAGCCUUUACCUGAUAUUAGUAAAGUGUACUUACUCUUACGGUGUACCUUUAACAUGAUGGGUCAGCGAGGAAAUGGGAACAGUGCCUUAAGCUUUUAGGUGUAGGCACUUUCUAGAGGUGGAAUCAUAUAGUUCUUCCUAUUUGUCCCAACACCGAUCGAUCUAGCCUUGAGCAAGUUGAAGAUACCUCUAACAGCCCUUGGAGGACUGAACCCACGUAUGUGGCAAAAUACGGGGAUGACUUUUGGCUAGGGGUGAAAGGCCAACCAAAAUUGGAUAUAGUUGGUUUUCUGUGAAAUCUAUUUCAGUAGAGCGUAUGAUGUCGAUGGCCUAAGGUAGAGCACUCAAUGGUAUAGG